Molecule: ribosomal RNA, 440 nt
Filed under: uncultured bacterium
Lineage: Bacteria
Description: partial 16S ribosomal RNA
Rfam family: Bacterial small subunit ribosomal RNA
Source: RNAcentral
CCUACGGUGGGCAGCAGUGGGGAAUAUUGCACAAUGGGGGAAACCCUGAUGCAGCGACGCCGCGUGAAGGAAGCAGUAUUUCGGUAUGUAAACUUCUAUCAGCAGAGAAGAAAAUGACGGUACCUGACUAAGAAGCCCCGGCUAACUACGUGCCAGCAGCCGCGGUAAUACGUAGGGGGCAAGCGUUAUCCGGAUUUACUGGGUGUAAAGGGAGCGUAGGCGGUUUAGCAAGUCAGAAGUGAAAGCCCGGGGCUCAACUCCGGGACUGCUGUUGAAACUGUUGAACUAGAGUGCAGGAGAGGUAAGUGGAAUUCCUAGUGUAGCGGUGAAAUGCGUAGAGAUUAGAAGGAACACCAGUGGCGAAAGCGGCUUACGGGACUGUAAAUGACGCUGAGGCUCGAAAGCGUGGGGAGCAAACAGGAUUAGAUACCCGUGUAGUC